AGCAGGCACUGAGAAGCCAAGUCAAACUCUGCCUGAGGAGCUGUUCUGAUAACUAAGCACCAUGGGGCCAUAGGGCCUGACCACUUCUGCUCAGCCUAAGUCUUCUGUAAUGAACAAUCUUUGCUCUGAAGAUCCCUAUUGGAUCGUCUGGACUUCACCAGGCCUACAUUGUGGUUUGAAUCUCUUCAGCUGAGGCCAGAUCCUAGAGACACUGCAGCUGGAGGCACUCUGCAUGCUCUACAGAUAAGCAACAAGUUCUUUUCUGAUGUGAGAUCAACAGUCAACACAGAAGAUCGCUGUGGCCAAAUGUGUAAUAGUUGCUCCCUACACACCAACCAAGCAAUCAGUUCUGCAGCAGACAGCAGCUGGGUGUCCUCCAAUUCAAUUUCAACACUCUACCUGGAAACUGCAUCAGAUCCCACAGGUUGAGGUCUCAGUCUCACAAGACUGCCCCUACUCCCCACCUCCCGUCCCCAUCAUUGAGUUAUCAGUUGCAAGUCCAGCCUCCAGAACGUCUGAGUGACUGGUUUCAAGGUAUUACCAGCUGAUGAGGCUGACGGCCAGGAGAUACACAAAUAAACAGCUGUAGGUCUCCCAGUCCAAUUUCAAAGUCAUGUACAGGAGACGCUCCUACUUCAUCUGGCCCCAUGGAGCUGGCUUCGUAGGAUGAAACUGUAAUGCACCAAGAAGUAAAGGAACAAUUGGGUUUCAUGACUUUAAAAGUCCAACAUUGGGAAGAAGUGCCAUGGCCAUUUAAUGUGGAAAGAACAGACUUUUAUCAAGUGAUGCUGGGAAAAAUGGAUAUCCACAAGCAAGAGAAUUAACUUGGACCUCUCUGCCUUACACCAGACAUGAAAAUUACUCAAAAUGGAUCAAAGACCUAAAUGUAAGUGCUAAAACUACAAAAGUCAUAGGAGAAAACAUAAGUAAACUUUUGUCACUUUGAAUUAUGCAACGGUUUAUUAUAUGUUACAACAAAAACACAAGAAACCAAAGAAAGAAGUUGGGCUUAAUUAAAAUAAAAAACUUUUGUGCUUCAAACAACACUAUCACGAAAGUAAAACAAUAACUUACAGAAGGGGAGAAAAUAUUUGUAUGUUAUUUAUCUGAGAAAACUUUAGUACUAGAAAAUAUAGGGAGCUAUUAUAAUUCAGCAAUAAAAAAGACAACACAAUUUUAAAUGGGCAAAGGAUUUGAAUAGCCUUUUCUCCAAAGAAGAAAUACAAAGUCCUAGUAAGCACAUGAAAAGAUGCUCACCAUCUUUAGGGAAAUGCAAAUUAAAUCCAUAUGGAGAUACCCUCUCAUACCUACAAAGAUGGUUAAAAUAACAAAAAUAACAACAAGUAUUAGUGGAGACACAGAAUCAUUGGAAUCCUCAUACACGGCCAGAAGGAAUGCAAAAUGGUGUAGCCACUGUGGAAAAAGUCUGGCAGUUUUUCAAAAGGUUAAACACAGAGUUACCAUAUGGCCCAGCAAAUCCAUUCUUAACUCCAUACCCAAGAGAAAUGAAAAUAUUUUGUCUACACAGAAACCAUUACACUAAUGUUUAUAGCAGCAUUAUUCAUAAUAGUCAAAAAAUGGCGACAACCCAAAUGUUCAUCAGUUCACACAUGGAUACACAAAAUGUGCUAUAUCAAUACAAUGAAAUAUUAUUUGGCAUACAGAGGAGAAAUUAAAUAUUGACAUGUGGUACAACAUGAAUGAACCUUGAA
This is a long non-coding RNA of Piliocolobus tephrosceles (Ugandan red Colobus), 1712 nucleotides long. RefSeq lists it as uncharacterized. The record is from RefSeq and is a predicted model, not a curated record. The transcript is spliced from 6 exons. NCBI's taxonomy places the organism in Eukaryota, Metazoa, Chordata, Mammalia, Primates, Cercopithecidae.